CCCUUAGAGUUUGAUCCUGGCUCAGAACGAACGCUGGCGGCAUGCCUAACACAUGCAAGUCGAACGAGACCUUCGGGUCUAGUGGCGCACGGGUGCGUAACGCGUGGGAAUCUGCCCUUGGGUUCGGAAUAACAGUUGGAAACGACUGCUAAUACCGGAUGAUGUCUUCGGACCAAAGAUUUAUCGCCCAGGGAUGAGCCCGCGUAGGAUUAGCUAGUUGGUGAGGUAAAGGCUCACCAAGGCGACGAUCCUUAGCUGGUCUGAGAGGAUGAUCAGCCACACUGGGACUGAGACACGGCCCAGACUCCUACGGGAGGCAGCAGUGGGGAAUAUUGGACAAUGGGCGAAAGCCUGAUCCAGCAAUGCCGCGUGAGUGAUGAAGGCCUUAGGGUUGUAAAGCUCUUUUACCCGGGAUGAUAAUGACAGUACCGGGAGAAUAAGCCCCGGCUAACUCCGUGCCAGCAGCCGCGGUAAUACGGAGGGGGCUAGCGUUGUUCGGAAUUACUGGGCGUAAAGCGCGCGUAGGCGGCUUUGUAAGUCAGAGGUGAAAUCCCGGGGCUCAACUCCGGAACUGCCUUUGAAACUGCAUCGCUUGAAUGUCGGAGAGGUGAGUGGAAUUCCGAGUGUAGAGGUGAAAUUCGUAGAUAUUCGGAAGAACACCAGUGGCGAAGCGGCUCACUGGACGACUAUUGACGCUGAGGUGCGAAAGCGUGGGGAGCAAACAGAUUAGAUACCCUGGUAGUCCACGCCGUAAACGAUGAUGACUAGCUGUC
Molecule: ribosomal RNA, 773 nt
Filed under: uncultured bacterium
Lineage: Bacteria
Description: bacterial SSU rRNA
Rfam family: Bacterial small subunit ribosomal RNA
Source: RNAcentral